CGUGCAUAACACAUUCAAGUCGAACGGAAGUAGCAAUACUUCAGUGGCGGACGGGUGAGUAACGCGUAAGCAAUCUGCCUCCGUGUGCGGGAUAACAGUUGGAAACGGCUGCUAAUACCGCAUGAUGCAGUGAAACCGCAUGAUUUUACUGCCAAAGAUUUAUUGCACGGAGAUGAGCUUGCGUCCGAUUAGAUAGUUGGCGGGGCAACGGCCCACCAAGUCGACGAUCGGUAGCCGGACUGAGAGGUUGAACGGCCACAUUGGAACUGAGAACGGUCCAGACUCCUACGGGAGGCAGCAGUGGGGAAUAUUGGGCAAUGGACGAAAGUCUGACCCAGCGACGCCGCGUGAGGGAUGAAGAUCUUCGGAUUGUAAACCUUUGUCAACAGGGACGAAGCAAGUGACGGUACCUGUGGAGGAAGCCACGGCUAACUACGUGCCAACAAAA
Molecule: ribosomal RNA, 448 nt
Filed under: uncultured eubacterium WJGRT-217
Lineage: Bacteria
Description: bacterial SSU rRNA
Rfam family: Bacterial small subunit ribosomal RNA
Source: RNAcentral